UAAAGAUUCAUCGCUGAUAGAUAGGCAUGCGUUCCAUUAGGCAGUUGGCGGGGUAACGGCCCACCAAACCGACGAUGGAUAGGGGUUCUGAGAGGAAGGUCCCCCACAUUGGUACUGAGACACGGACCAAACUCCUACGGGAGGCAGCAGUGAGGAAUAUUGGUCAAUGGGCGUAAGCCUGAACCAGCCAAGUCGCGUGAGGGAUGAAGGUUCUAUGGAUCGUAAACCUCUUUUAUAAGGGAAUAAAGUGCGGGACGUGUCCCGUUUUGUAUGUACCUUAUGAAUAAGGAUCGGCUAACUCCGUGCCAGCAGCCGCGGUAAUACGGAGGAUCCGAGCGUUAUCCGGAUUUAUUGGGUUUAAAGGGUGCGUAGGCGGCCUUUUAAGUCAGCGGUGAAAGUCUGUGGCUCAACCAUAGAAUUGCCGUUGAAACUGGGAGGCUUGAGUAUGUUUGAGGCAGGCGGAAUGCGUGGUGUAGCGGUGAAAUGCUUAGAUAUCGCGCAGAACCCCGAUUGCGAAGGCAGCCUGCCAAGCCAUGACUGACGCUGAUGCACGAAAGCGUGGGGAUCAAACAGGAUUAGAUACCCUGGUAGUCCACGCAGUAAACGAUGA
RNAcentral lists this ribosomal RNA (610 nucleotides) under uncultured bacterium. Its description in RNAcentral is "bacterial SSU rRNA". It matches the Rfam family "Bacterial small subunit ribosomal RNA", at positions 202 to 812 of the family's 1533-position model. The record is from RNAcentral.